This is a non-coding RNA of Nycticebus coucang (slow loris), 935 nucleotides long. The record is from the annotation of a RefSeq genome assembly. Lineage: Eukaryota; Metazoa; Chordata; Mammalia; Primates; Lorisidae.
GACCCCUCAGUCCAACUUCUCACAAUGAGACUCCCUGCUCAGCUCCUGUGGCUGCUGGUGCUCUGGGUCCCUGGAUCCAGUGGGGCUAUUGUGAUGACCCAGACUCCACUCUCACUGCCCGUCACCCCUGGAGAGCCUGCUUCCAUCUCCUGCAGGUCUAGUCAGAAUCUCCUCCAUACUAGUGGAAUCAACCUUAUGAGUUGGUACCUGCAGAAGCCAGGCCAGUCUCCACAGCCCCUGAUCUAUUUUGGUUUAAACCGAGCACCUGGGGUCCCAGACAGGUUCAGUGGCAGUGGAUCAGGAACUGAUUUCACACUGAAAAUCAGCAGAGUGGAGCCUGAAGAUGCUGGGGUUUAUUAUUGCUUGCAAGGUCUACAACUUCCGCUCACUUUCGGCCCAGGCACCAAGGUGGAGAGCAAACGGGAUGCGGCUCAGCCAUCUGUCGUCCUGUUCCCACCAGCCCAGGAGGAGCUGAGCUCCGGAACUGUCUCUGUCUUGUGCACAAUAACUGGCUUCUACCCCAAAGAUAUCAAUGUCACUUGGAAGGUGGAUAACGUCCCCCAGACAAAUGAUAUCCAGAACAGCCUCUCAGAGCAGGACAGCAAAGACAACACCUUUAGCCUCAGCAGUAUCCUGACAUUGCCCACUCCAGAGUACAACCGCCACAGCACCUAUGUCUGCGAGGUUGUUCAUCAGAGCUUGAGCUCGCCCCUCACCAAGAGCUUCAAUAGGCAAGCGUGUUAGAGGGAGAGGCCUCCCCGGCCCAGCAUCAGCCCCUUCCCUGCGUAGGCCUUGGGACCUUCUCCCACAAGGGACCUACCCCUACUGCAGUCCUCCAGCACCUCUCCCCACAUCAUCCCCCUUCCUCCUUGGCUUUAAUCAUGCUAAUAUUUGGGGAGGAAAUGAACGAAUAAAGUUAAUCUUUGCACCUGUGA